Molecule: ribosomal RNA, 169 nt
Filed under: uncultured bacterium
Lineage: Bacteria
Description: partial 16S ribosomal RNA
Rfam family: Bacterial small subunit ribosomal RNA
Source: RNAcentral
CCUACGGGAGGCAGCAGUGAGGAAUUUUCGGCAAUGGACGCAAGUCUGAUCCAGCAAUGCCGCGUGAGUGAUGAAGGCCUUAGGGUUGUAAAGCUCUUUUACCCGGGAUGAUAAUGACAGUACCGGGAGAAUAAGCUCCGGCUAACUCCGUGCCAGCAGCCGCGGUAAU